GAACGCUGGCGGCAGGCCUAACACAUGCAAGUCGAACGGUAACAGGAAGCAGCUUGCUGCUUCGCUGACGAGUGGCGGACGGUGAGUAAUGUCUGGGAAGCUGCCUGAUGGAGGGGAUAACUUACUGGAGACGGUAGCUAAUACCGCAUAAUGUCGCAAGACCAAAGAGGGGGACCUUCGGGCCUCUUGCCAUCGGAUGUGCCCAGAUGGGAUUAGCUUGUUGGUGGGGUAACGGCUCACCAAGGCGACGAUCCCUAGCUGGUCUGAGAGGAUGACCAGCCACACUGGAACUGAGACACGGUCCAGACUCCUACGGGAGGCAGCAGUGGGGAAUAUUGCACAAUGGGCGCAAGCCUGAUGCAGCCAUGCCGCGUGUAUGAAGAAGGCCUUCGGGUUGUAAAGUACUUUCAGCGGGGAGGAAGGGAGUAAAGUUAAUACCUUUGCUCAUUGACGUUACCCGCAGAAGAAGCACCGGCUAACUCCGUG
Molecule: ribosomal RNA, 486 nt
Filed under: uncultured bacterium
Lineage: Bacteria
Description: bacterial SSU rRNA
Rfam family: Bacterial small subunit ribosomal RNA
Source: RNAcentral